Dipodomys ordii (Ord's kangaroo rat) is the source of this 72-nucleotide non-coding RNA. The record is from Rfam. NCBI's taxonomy places the organism in Eukaryota, Metazoa, Chordata, Mammalia, Rodentia, Heteromyidae.
AGAAGUUAGCUCAAUGGUAGAGUGCUUGCCUUGCAUGCAUGAAGUCCUGGGUUCAAUUCCUUAGAACUACUA